This 464-nucleotide ribosomal RNA is filed under the name Vreelandella stevensii. Its description in RNAcentral is "partial 16S ribosomal RNA". It matches the Rfam family "Bacterial small subunit ribosomal RNA", at positions 338 to 795 of the family's 1533-position model. The record is from RNAcentral. Lineage: Bacteria; Pseudomonadati; Pseudomonadota; Gammaproteobacteria; Oceanospirillales; Halomonadaceae.
CCUACGGCGGCUGCAGUGGGGAAUAUUGGACAAUGGGCGAAAGCCUGAUCCAGCCAUGCCGCGUGUGUGAAGAAGGCCUUCGGGUUGUAAAGCACUUUCAGUGGGGAAGAAAGCCUUGGGGCUAAUACCCUCGAGGAAGGACAUCACCCACAGAAGAAGCACCGGCUAACUCCGUGCCAGCAGCCGCGGUAAUACGGAGGGUGCGAGCGUUAAUCGGAAUUACUGGGCGUAAAGCGCGCGUAGGCGGUCUGAUAAGCCGGUUGUGAAAGCCCCGGGCUCAACCUGGGAACGGCAUCCGGAACUGUCAGGCUAGAGUGCAGGAGAGGAAGGUAGAAUUCCCGGUGUAGCGGUGAAAUGCGUAGAGAUCGGGAGGAAUACCAGUGGCGAAGGCGGCCUUCUGGACUGACACUGACGCUGAGGUGCGAAAGCGUGGGUAGCAAACAGGAUUAGAUACCCUUGUAGUC